RNAcentral lists this unclassified non-coding RNA (305 nucleotides) under plant metagenome. RNAcentral describes it as "partial contains 5.8S ribosomal RNA, internal transcribed spacer 2, and large subunit ribosomal RNA". The stretch from base 1 to 105 matches the Rfam family "5.8S ribosomal RNA", at positions 50 to 154 of the family's 154-position model. The record is from RNAcentral.
GAAAUGCGAUAAGUAGUGUGAAUUGCAGAAUUCGGUGAAUCAUCGAAUCUUUGAACGCACAUUGCGCCCUUUGGUAUUCCUUAGGGCAUGCCUGUUCGAGCGUCAUCUAAACCUUCAAGCCCUGCUUGGUGUUGGGUGCCUGUCCCGCCUCCGCGCGCGGACUCACCUCAAAUCCAUUGGCGGCCCCCGCGUCGGCCACGAGCGCAGCAGAAACGCGAACUCGUGAGCCCGUCCGGGCGGCUCCCAGAAGCUACACCCACCCAGUUUGACCUCGGAUCAGGUAGAGAUACCCGCUGAACUUAAGC